AUCGGUCAAUGGUUCUGCUUAUAUUUGCACAAUUGACAUGACAGAAAGCUGGAUCGAUAGCACUCCUAACUUCCUAAUCAGUAGCAUGUUGACGGACUGUUCACCGAAUGCUUUUAUUUAAUAAAGCUCUCAGUAAUUUCCCUGCAAAAAGAAGAAAAUCGAUAGCCAACCGAACCGUUUGAACAUUCUCCCCGUGUUGAAAUCAAAAAUCAAGAGCGCGCUGCUCUAUCAAAGGUAAUCAGCGGAAAUCCAACCGCCCCGUCGCCUUCCCAUCCCACGUCCGUCCGUGGCACGCGCGCCCACCUCCCCCACUAAGCAGCGAGCGGAAUUCAAAGCGUGGUCAAACCCGCGCGCACUCCAUCUCAUCAAAGGGAAGUUACCGG
This 383-nucleotide long non-coding RNA is filed under the name Hordeum vulgare. RNAcentral describes it as "long non-coding RNA (HVUL_LNC007133)". Lineage: Eukaryota; Viridiplantae; Streptophyta; Magnoliopsida; Poales; Poaceae. The record is from RNAcentral.